GCCUUCGUAGCUCAGUUGGUAGAGCACAGUCUUGGUAAGACUGGGGUCAUGAGUUCAAGUCUCAUCGAAGGCUCCA
RNAcentral lists this transfer RNA (76 nucleotides) under Chloroflexota bacterium. RNAcentral's name for it is "Chloroflexi bacterium (groundwater metagenome) tRNA-Thr". It matches the Rfam family "tRNA". From Rfam's summary of the family: Transfer RNA (tRNA) molecules are approximately 80 nucleotides in length. Their secondary structure includes four short double-helical elements and three loops (D, anti-codon, and T loops). The record is from RNAcentral. Lineage: Bacteria; Bacillati; Chloroflexota.